GUCCAGCGGUAGAACUCGAGGGUGUCGUUCACCACGCUGGACACCAGGCCCAUGGCGCUGGGGGGCUCGGCGGCGGCGGCACCCAUGCAGUUUGGAUUUUUCUUCUCUCUUCCCCUGCUGCUACCCCUUGACAAACACGCUGAGGGUCCGGCGUGAGCGGUGCUGGCGUUACCUCGGUCUGUGCGUACCGAGGCUCUUGUGCUGCUCUCAGGAGCCUCCGCUAAGAUCCCUUCUCCUCCCAGUAACACCAGCGACCGCAGCGGGACCUCGCUACCUCCCUGCCCCACCACCUGGUGGCACCUCCCUGGCCAGCCUGCUCCAGGCGCCCUUCGCACACCUCCCCUUGUCUCCUGGACCAAGGCCUUUAUGGUCGCUUCAUGGAGCAGAGAGAUUCAGCUGCCCGGAGUGUUGCUGGGUGCUGCAGGAGAAGCAUCCAUUCUGCACCCUGUGUUUCAGUCCCAGCAAACCCUCGUCCCAGCUGCUCCUCACACCCUUUGCUUCUUAUCUCCUCCUUGACAGCUUGUCUGUCCCAUGAUCUUGCAUGGUGCAGAUGGCUACAUGACACCCUUGGGAGCGAGAGGCAGGAGGGGACCUGCUCCACCCAAGCUGCAAGCUUUCCUUCUAGCAGGCAGCAGAUCAGAUGGUGUCUGCUGCUCCCUCCUCCAGUGCAGCAGCACCUCUGUCACUUGUCACUUGGUCUUGGUGAGCACAGCUCGCACUCCUCCUCCAGGGUGAGUCACCUCCGGCUCAGCUCCCGCACUGCUCUGGCUGCUGCGAUCCCAACCCUAUAGACAGGAGAGGCACACUGACCAUCACUACUUACUCCACUGGAAGCAGAGUCACUGCACCAGGCAUUUGGCAGUAGGGAUCACCUAUGCUGGGAAAAGGAAGAGAAGCUAUGUCAAGACUUGGAGGCCUUGAUGAACAGGGAAGUCCAACUUAUCCCAACGCUGGCUGAAAGUUGGAGCGAAGUGAGGUUAUCACAUGUGGAUGUAUGGACAGCCGCUACUUCUCUCACAUGAGAAGAGUCAAUCAAAAUUCUUCAUGAAUUACAGUGACUUGAAUUAUGCCUUGUUUUGGUGGCAGAAGGUCUGGUGAGAGCUCUGCAGUGGAUUUGUCACUGGGUAGGGCAAGGUGAACACCAACUUGCUUCUCAAAUUGCCGGCAGACAGUGUAGCGUUAGCUGUGUUUCCUGUGCCUCCAAUAGGAGAAACCACUGGAGUGUAUUGUUGGACAUUUAGUAUCUUGAUAUGUGGUUAGCAUUGUCUAAAGCACAGCUUCAGAACUUUCGGUAACAUUAUCAUUUAAAUCAAAAGGAAACCAGGAGAUUGAGUCAUAAUCCUCAAAUUGGUAUGUGGCCAUUUGUGUUGGCCAUAGCUUGAAACAGAACUCUGCUGAGUGAAUCAACAUGACAAAGGUUCACACUCCUCUGCCCUGUUGGGCAAGAUGGGGACUUAGGAGAGUGCCACCAACACUAGGAGUGAAGAUGCACAGUCUACCAAAGAACGAAAAAGGAAAAAGACAUAUUACCAAUAUGAAUACAUAUUUCUGUUAAUAAUUAUAUUAUAGUCUACAUAUACUUACUUCUUUAUUAGAAUGCCUAUUUAUUCUGUGGAAGUCCUUUUUGCACACCAAUAAUUAUUGCUUAUAAAAUGUUUAUAUCAUCCAAUUUACUGUUUCAGCUAUUUCCAAUUAGGUAAUUUUUCUUGAUGGCAAUGAAAUCCUUUAUAUUAGCAAUAUGACUGUACAUAGAUAAUUUUACAGAGCCAUUAUGGCUUGAGAGGAGCCACAGCUGAGUGCAGAGUUUGGACAACAGGGAGAAGACUAACUAUCUAACCAGAGUAAUUUCCUCUUUGACAUUGCUUUGACAGUGCUUUGACAUUGCCUUUAAAAAGUAUGCUGAAAUUUUCAUUAGUUUAAGUUGUAACCUGAAAAUAUGCGGAUGUGCUUAGGUCUGUGUCUGUAUUCCAAGCAUAUCCCAGUUAGUUUUCCACAUUUGUGCAUCCAGCAGGAUAUGCUGCCUUAAGAGUGCUGAGACCAUGUCUUCUACUUAAAGAGAGCAGAAGUAGGAAGAUAUUCAAAGGCAUAGUAUCAAAAUAUCAUCCAAGGAAAUCUCCAGUACAGUAAUCAGAAAAUGAUGAUCUUUCAAUAUCAUUAGUUAGCGUUGACAUCUUCUGCUUGGUAAUCUACAUGUUCUUAAAACCUGGACAUCUCAGAUGGGUAAAUUUCUGCCAGGAAAAGGCAGAUCUGUGGCACCUGAUCCCAGAGGAACACACAGAGUCCCAGCUGUGCUCCAGCCAUUUGCCCAGUGCUCCAGGGUGCUUGUGCUGGCAGCAGGCAAUUGUGCGCUUUGGGAAGGGUGCAGAAGGUAACAGGAAGUUGUAGGACAGGUGGCUCUAGGAAGGUCUCCUCCCAGUUCCCAUUCCAGAUACAAACCAUUGGUAUUUCUUCCAGAUAUUUUUGUACAAAACCCCCAAUGAUGUCUCAUUUCAGAACUGUUUCAAGUCAUUUUCUGCCUCUUCGUGAAAUAAACAAAUAGGAUGGAAAUGUUACAAGUUCCCCAUGAUUAGUACCUUUAGUCAUGCUUGUAAAAACACAUUUAUUCAUUAAUUUUAGUGGAGUAUACGCUAGCAUAAUGAUUGAUGAAUCAGCAGAUGCUUCUGCACUAGUUGAAAGUAUUCCCACUCAGGUUUUGCUUUAGGUUAGCAAUGAAAUUGCUGUAAGGGGAAAAUGUAAUGCAGGUAUAUUUGGUAAUAUUUACGAGGUGUAGUAGGAAGAAAGAAGUCAGAGUUUUGUAUGUUGCCAACAGUGAGCCCUCCAGGCAGCUCAACAAAAGACAAAAACAGCAGUAAAAGAACUCUGCCUUGCUACAAAAAAAAUCACCACAACCAGGAACUUACCUGAUGGGAAAGCAUAAAAUUGCUUGAAUCAACACAUUUUACAGAUCUAAAUGUCGCAUGCUGUGGUAAGGGACAACCUAUUCACUUAUCAGUAAAGGAGGCAUAUAAAGUCUUAUGUGUGUUGAGCAUGAUCAAAUUUAAAUGUUGAAAAUACGUUUAAUUUUAGAAAUGUGUUUUGAUUAAUUACUGAAUUCUCAUAUUUUUAAAAUUUGAUUCCAUCAAUGUCUUAGGAGGGAAAAUGAUUAAAUAAAUUAGCACAUUAAUUUGCAAUGGAUGGGAUUUUCUUGCACAGCCUGUCCGAUUGAUAUGCUCCUUGCAUUAAAACUUCCAAGUUGAUAUGCCUUAUAAAGACUGCUAGCUGAGCAAAAAAAAAGCUAAUUUGAUCUUUGAAUCAAAAAGUACAGGCUCAAGUGUGUUCAUGUACAAUAGUACAAUUGCUAUCUGCUUCAAUAGAGAGGCUGAUUUAAGGCAGGCUUAUACUAUAAAAGCUUAAAAGAAGCUGUUCUCAUACAACCAUAAUUUUUAAAAAUAAUAACAUUUAAACCAACAAUGUGUCUUUCAGCACUAAUUAAUUUUUUUGUUUAUUACGUAACACACUCUUAAUUCCAUAGUUUGAGGUGGGGUAACUGCGCACAGGUAUUCCAUACCACAGAAUGUCUUUCAUAGGAUCUGAAACAGAUCCUGCUUUUUGUUUUCUAAACCAUCUGCUAGAUGUCAUCUGUUCUUUCAUACAUUUAACUGCAUCAAAAGAAUUUUUUUCCAAACCAAUUAUAUUGGAGUGAUGCAUCAGAAAGUGUCCAGAGAUGCAAAUGCUCAGUGCAGGCUUUAGCCAGAACUUACCUUUGAUGUAAGUUCCCGCAAGGUUCCACCUCACUGUUGUCACCAGCAUUGAAUUGGAUUUCUCGUAUGUGUCCAACUUCAUUUUUGAACAUCAGUCAUAUAUACUGUGGUUCUCACAGAAAUAUGAGAAUUAAAGUAUGUUUAAUAUCCUGGUUUAGAUGGUCAAGGGCCAGAUUGAGCACACCCAGUGAAGUAAAUGCAAGUUUUGUUUCCAAAGGGCUCUCUACACUUAUUGACAUUUCCUCUUCAUCUUUCUGAAUAAAAAUUUGGUGCCAAGAAGAAGAUGUGGGAAGUGGUGGGCAGCUUUCUCCCAAGCUAUAUCAGGCUUUACUCUCAAGUAAAUAUAACUGUGGUUUGACUCAGGAUCAUUAUAUUUAGAGAUUUUUUUCUAAAUUGUAGAACUAACCCUAUUUACUGCAGUCCAGGCAGAGACUAGAAGUGUUGGCCUGCAGUGCUGGGCUGCAUUCUGCUGAAACUGCUGCUGUUUAGCACUGGUUCAGAAGAGGUGCCAUUAGUUCAGUGUUUCCCAGCACCAUUCUGAGAGAUUAAUUUAUAAUUUAUUCCUGUGUGGGAGAUGUCACUAACCAUGAAGCUAAUGUGCAUAUCCAGUAUAUGAGAUGUGUUGUGUACCCAGCAGGUACACAUACAUUCAUAGCUUUACCUGCAUUUCAGCUUCCUUUUAAAAAUGAGUGUUCAACAGACAUGAGGAUGAUAAAAACCUGCAUAUAUACUAUCUCACUCUGCCUCAAUGAUACUUUUCUUACAUGGUUUCUCAUACUUUUACACAGCUAAGAUUUUUAUCUGCAGUGAUAUCUGUCACAGCAUCUAUCAUUUGUGAGGUGUGGCAAGCACGCUUUUGCAAUGAGGGCUUCAUAUGUGUACAUGCUGGAGAAGGACGAUGCUAAACUAUGGGCUGAUGUUUUGAAGGCACUGUGUUGAAAUGACAGCAACAUGUAUAGUCAGAUCUGCAGCAAGUCGCUAACUACCAAAUCCAGCCUUUUCCAUAGGUGUGUGUCACUGCUACUGCACCCACUUCACUGGGUGUGUCAGCCUCCUGAAGGCGUGUGGCUGUUUGUAGGGAUGAUCUUGCACCUUUGCUUCUGCACUAGUAAUGGCCUGAAAUGUAGGGCACAGUCCCCUGCAGAAGCUGCUUAUAGCAAUGUAGUCGGUGGAAGGGCGUUGGUUACGCAAGCUGGGUGCCAUUGUGCUCUCUCUGGCUGUAGCUGUGUGAGCAUGGGUGGUAACGAUGGUGCUGCCCAUACCCUUUAUCUAUGUGGUGUGUGGAGGACAAAAUUGUGGUAAAGGAGUUGCAUAAAGGCUGUGUCAGCCCCUGGGCCUCUGAACUGGUGUGACCUGGCAUACCUCUGCCUUUCACGCUGCCAGGGGGAUGCACUGUGGAGCUGCACAGUCUGGAUGGACAGCCUGAGUGCCAGUCCUUAUUAUAGGCUUGUUGUCUUAUCCUCAGAAAAUCAUGUGAAAGUAUUUGCCACAGGCUUACACAUUUUAUAAACAGUAGGUUAGCCACAUAGCCCUACUGAGGUAAUCUGGCAUUAUUAAUUUCAUUUUAUGUAUGGGGAAACCAAGCCUAGAGAAAAGUGAUGCCAGUUCCAGCCGUUUGGAAUGGAAUAGAGCAGAAAUUUUUGGCAUGUCCCUUAAACUACUGUGUCUUGGCCACAACCUGGUAUAAACCCAUGGUUCACUGGUCUUUCCAGUGCCAUAUGCAGGCAUGGGCAUGAGCCUCAGGACACUACUUGGAAAGAACCUUAAGCUCCACCAAGUAGUUGAAGGCAAGACAGACACAUAUAAAACAUAACACUUCCUAUGCUUGUAUAGCGAAAUUCCAAAUUUCUUACUAAACAUAAGAGAGCUUUUGCUCUAAAUUUUGUGCAGUGACUGCUGUAAUUCUUUUAGUUGUCAGGAUGCGCAGUAGAAAAUUUUGUAGUAGUUGUGUGUGUGUCUCUGUGUGUGUGUGUGUGUGUGUGUGUGUGUGUGUGUGUAAGUAAGACAAUGGUGUUUCAAGAGAAAAAGCAAGAGCAGAAAAAGAUAGUAGAACACAUGAAUAUUCAGUUGUUGAAAUCAGAAAUACAGUCAUUACCUUGUAAAGGACCUUAAAAUCAUCUUCUACCACAUCCUGCUCACACUCAGCCCAAGCUGCCAUGCAUUUAUCUGUCCUGCCUGGGGAUAGGCAGGGAAAUCCCCAGGGAGGGCUGCUCUGCAGGCAUACCGUGCUUCCUGCUGUGAUUUGCACUGCCCAUUACAGGGUGUUGUGGCACUGGGCUUGGUGUUAGCCUCUGAGCCAUCCAUUCUUAGCGCAAGAGGCAAUUAAUACUCAGGAAGAUUUUACCAGGAUUACAAAGCUCUGGUGGGAAUGAAGUCACCUGUCCCCAAGGUAAGAGUCACAGCUCUACGUGGCAGAUAAACGGACUCCCACAGGGGAAGCUGACACCUUAAACUGUCGUGGUUUUUAAAAGAUAAUUACUGCAUAUGAGUAGGUACACAAAAUAAGCACAUUUUAUCUGUGUGCACAUUUUAUCUGUGUGCACAUUUUAUGAACUCUGCAUCUACCCACAAAUCUUUAUUUUGCCUCAGGUCUUGUCUCAAAAUAUUAGGUCUUAUCUAUGUAAUGGAGCAGGAUGCUUAAACCCAAAACUGGGAAGCCUGACAUUGGAAGAGAAUCUAUCUGUUAGAGGCAAUAUUAAAGUAUGUCCAAAUGACAAAGGCCAGUCAGAUACUGUAAUACCUGCCAAAAAAUCACAAGUAAUGAGAGGCUCAUGGACACAAAAGGAUAGCACUGUAUCUGUAUUUCAAGAGUUCAUGAAUCAAUACUUGGAACAGAUCUUGUGUAAAUGAAAAGGACUCCGCUGAA
Molecule: long non-coding RNA, 6606 nt
Organism: Catharus ustulatus (Swainson's thrush)
Lineage: Eukaryota; Metazoa; Chordata; Aves; Passeriformes; Turdidae
Exons: 2
Source: RefSeq, a predicted model, not a curated record